Long non-coding RNA from Contarinia nasturtii (swede midge), 1147 nucleotides. RefSeq lists it as uncharacterized. Lineage: Eukaryota; Metazoa; Arthropoda; Insecta; Diptera; Cecidomyiidae. The record is from RefSeq and is a predicted model, not a curated record. The transcript has 2 exons.
UGUGUGGACAUUGAACAUAACGGAAGGAUGUUUAAAGGCAGAUAGCUCCAUCUAUUGAAAUGCAGAUGUCGCCCACUAUAAUAGCAAACGUCAUAUGUAAGCCAAGCAGAAAGUCAGGUACAUUGAGCAAGUGAGUUAAAUUUGUAUGGUCGUUUAUUUGUUUAAUAAUUGGUGAGUUUGUCGUAAAAAUGCCAAAAGAAGAAGACGAAAGACUUGUGAAGGAAUUAGAAGAAUUGAAAGAGAGAAUUGGCGAUGAGUCAAUUUCAGAAUUAGUUCGAGCUUUAGAUUCAAUGAUUUCAAAUACGCCAGAUAGUUCUGAUUUGACCGAGGAACAUUCAACUAAUUUAAAUUUGGCUUCAUCACAGCCUUCUACAUCGAAUCAAGCACCAAACUCAGAAGACAAUGCGAUAAGAUUGCGUACUGAAUGCAAAGUAUGUCAUACUGUAUACAAUAAUCGGAACAAUUUGUACAGACACCAAGGUAAAUACGAAGAUCAAUUCAAAUGUUGCAUUUGUCGAAAGGAGUUUGGUGAUGAACUAAACGAACACACCCAGCGAUUUGGAGAAAAUUUCAUCUGUUGCAUAUGCAAAAAGAAUCGAGAAAGUAAAAAUAAAGCGAAAUUCAGUGACCAUUGUAGUCAAUGCCGUAACCGUCGUUCGUUACAAUGAACGGCAAAAUAAAAUAUUUUCUUCGAAAAUAAUCCAAUUUUACAACAGCGAAUAUAAAUCAAAUCUCAUCAUUGAAUCCAUCAUUGGCAUCCAUCUUCGAUUUGUUGAGAUUUUCAGCACUGUUCAGCAUAGUCGCAUUCCACAACACAAAUUGUAAAAAAAUCUAUUAUUUGUACAAAUUUAAUGUGUAAGGUUAUGAAUAACGAAAAGCACUGCAUCAUCAAUUCGGAAAUUUAUAAUUAGAUUAUUAAAUAACAUCGAAUGACUAUUUUUAUUUAUUUCAACAAAAUAUUAUUUGCGCCCAUUUUGCUAUGCUGACACUUUUGUUUUUAAUGCAGUAAUUCCGAUUAUUUUUCCGUGCAAUCGCUUAAUUUCAUUUUUUAUUAUUGCUAAAUUGCGUUGUACGCAGUGCCGUCACAUAGAAGUGUUCAAAUGGUUGAAAUAAAAAAAAAUCAAAACAAAGCAUAUGCCGAGAUAAA